RNAcentral lists this ribosomal RNA (223 nucleotides) under Klebsiella aerogenes. RNAcentral describes it as "partial 23S ribosomal RNA". It matches the Rfam family "Bacterial large subunit ribosomal RNA", at positions 1 to 232 of the family's 2925-position model. The record is from RNAcentral. Lineage: Bacteria; Pseudomonadati; Pseudomonadota; Gammaproteobacteria; Enterobacterales; Enterobacteriaceae. RNAcentral also lists the same sequence under 5 other names.
GACUAAGCGUACACGGUGGAUGCCCUGGCAGUCAGAGGCGAUGAAGGACGUGCUAAUCUGCGAAAAGCGUCGGUAAGGUGAUAUGAACCGUUACAGCCGGCGAUGUCCGAAUGGGGAAACCCAGUGCAAUUCGUUGCACUAUCGUUAACUGAAUACAUAGGUUAACGAGGCGAACCGGGGGAACUGAAACAUCUAAGUACCCCGAGGAAAAGAAAUCAACCGA